Molecule: ribosomal RNA, 450 nt
Filed under: uncultured bacterium
Lineage: Bacteria
Description: partial 16S ribosomal RNA
Rfam family: Bacterial small subunit ribosomal RNA
Source: RNAcentral
CCUACGGGUGGCUGCAGUAAGGAAUAUUGGUCAAUGGACGCAAGUCUGAACCAGCCAUGCCGCGUGGAGGAUGAAGGUCCUCUGGAUUGUAAACUUCUUUUAUUUGGGAAGAAACUCCCGAUUUCCAUCGGGAUUGACGGUACCAGAUGACUAAGCACCGGCUAACUCCGUGCCAGCAGCCGCGGUACUACGGCGGGUGCAGGCGUUAUCCGGGUUCACUGGUGUUAAGGGGUGCAUAGAAGUCAGUGUUGAAAUCGCCGGGCUUAACCCGGAAACUGCCAUUGAUACUAUUUGUCUUGAAUACUCUGGAGGUGAGCGGAAUAUGUCAUGUAGCGGUGAAAUGCUUAGAUAUGACAUAGAACACCCAUUGCGAAGGCAGCUCACUACGGAAAUAUUGACGCUGAGGCACGAAAGCGUGGGGAUCAAACAGGAUUAGAUACCCGAGUAGUC